GCAAGUGCAUUUUGGAAUGUGAC
Molecule: microRNA, 23 nt
Filed under: Petromyzon marinus (sea lamprey)
Lineage: Eukaryota; Metazoa; Chordata; Hyperoartia; Petromyzontiformes; Petromyzontidae
Also listed under: 1 other name
Description: pma-miR-4542-3p
Source: miRBase by way of RNAcentral